AUGCGGUAGGUAUCGAGGAGGAACACCAGUGGCGAAGGCGAGUCCCUGGACAACUCCUGACUCUGAGGCACGAAAGCUAGGGGAGCAAACAGGAUUAGAUACCUGGUAGUCCUAGCCGUAAACGGUGCAUGUUUGCUGUAAAAGGAAUCGACCCCUUUUGUGGCGUAGCCAACGCGAUAAACAUGCCGCCUGGGAAGUACGGUCGCAAGAUUAAAACUCAAAGAAAUUGACGGGGGCCUGCACAAGCGGUGGAGUAUGUGGCUCAAUUCGAUGCAACGCGAAGAACCUUACCUGGCCUUGACAUGUACGUAGUAGAAGGGUGAAAGCCUGACGAGUCCGCAAGGACAGCGCACACAGGUGCUGCAUGGCUGACGUCAGCUCGUGUCGUGAGAUGUUGGGCUAAGUCCCGCAACGAGCGCAACCCCUGUGUCCUGUUGCCACCCUGAUGAAAGUCGGGAGCACUCUGGACAGACUGCCUCGCUUAAACGAGGAGGAAGGUGGGGAUGACGUCAAGUCAGUAUGGCCCUUACGGCCAGGGCUGCACACGUACUACGAUGCCCGGCACAAAGGGAAGCAAGAUCGUAAGAUGGAGCAAAUCCCCAAAAACCGGGCCCAGUUCGGAUUGUCGUCUGCAACUCGACGGCAUGAAGCUGGAAUCGCUAGUAAUGGCGCAUCAGCUACGGCGCCGUGAAUACGUUCCCAGGCCUUGUACACACCGCCCGUCACAUCAUGAAAGCCGUUUGUACCCGAAGUCGCCGUGUUAACCGCAAGGAGACAGGCGCCGAAGGUAUGGAUGGUGAUUGGGAUGAAGUCGUAACAAGGUAACCA
This 828-nucleotide ribosomal RNA is filed under the name uncultured soil bacterium. RNAcentral describes it as "SSU rRNA". It matches the Rfam family "Bacterial small subunit ribosomal RNA", at positions 686 to 1502 of the family's 1533-position model. The record is from RNAcentral.